This is a long non-coding RNA of Herpailurus yagouaroundi (jaguarundi), 1807 nucleotides long. RefSeq lists it as uncharacterized. The record is from RefSeq and is a predicted model, not a curated record. Lineage: Eukaryota; Metazoa; Chordata; Mammalia; Carnivora; Felidae. The transcript is spliced from 2 exons.
GUCGGAUGCUCAACCGACUGAGCCACCCAGGGCGCCCACGCACAAAUAUCUUGUGUGCUGUUGUCAAAACCCUGCGUCUGCGGACCUGGAGAAGGCAGAGACCAAAACCCCACCCUGUAACCAGAAAUGCUGGGAGGACCCGCCACACCAGGGCCGACCACCAGGUGGCACUAGUGCUGAGCUAAUAUGGGCUCGGCUUUUCCGCUCAGCUUUCCCGAGAGGCCGCCGCAUUUAACAGAGGCCAGUGAUUAGCAGCUCUCCGCGCUGACCCCUCUUCAGGCCCAGGUGGCUCUGAGUCUGCAAGUGAAUCUCCGGCCGGACGCAGAUUUGUUCAGGAAAUUGGACAGCCGAGACCGCAGCUUUGGGUAAGUGGGCACCGGUGGCUUUAUCUUGAAAGCAAAAGCUACCAACGUCCCCGUCUCUUUGCUAGACGUGUCUUGGGAAACUAAGACACUACUGUGGAUUCUUACAUGAGCCUAUUUUGUACCCGUUCUAUUCAGAGCAGUAUAACCUUUGCUUUCUGGCUAAUUAUCCUGAAGUCCACUUCAGAGAAUGUCACUACCCCUAGAGUUUCUGAGGCUGUCAAAGACUAGAUCCGCAUUUACCUGGUGAAGGGUGUGAGGGCAGUGGGAGGAGUCAGGAGAGGGAACCCUGGAGUCUGAGGCCUGCCACUGCUCGGUUGCCGUGACAAUGACAGGACCUCAGCCUCCACCCAGGUGAAAUCUCCCGAAUCUUAAGCCAAAGGCAGUCAGUUUAAGGGUUGAACCUAACAUCUUUGCAAUUACAUGGUUGCAAAUCUGAACAACUUGCUAGAGAGUCAAAAUGGGGUCUCAGAGGAGCUCAGGUCUGAAGUACAUUCUUGAAAAAUGCAUUUCCCCCGAAACAUGAGUGAGGGACCAGAAGUAGACGGCGGAGGGGAGAGUCUUUGGAAAGUACCAGAAGGCAAAAGACACAAUGAGUAGGAGGGAGCAGGAGAGCAGAGAUGUGGCUCAUUGGACCGAGAUCCCGCUGGAUCCCAACCAUGGGGCAUUCAUCCGUGCCCUCCAGUGUUCCACAAGCCUGUCCUGAGCGUCUAGUGUCUUCCCCUGAUCUACACACUGGUGACACAAAACAAAAAAACAAUCUCUGUCCUGGAAGUACUGCUUGGAGGAGAAGACAGAUCUGAAAAGGGACUGAGAAUCUAGAUGGCAGAGGCCAAAACCAUCAGUUAAAGUUCCCAUAUUUGGGACCAGCACCACAACUUGGUACUUUUCCUACCUGGUUACUUAUUUAAUAGCUGAAAACAUCUUAGUGAAGUAGCUAUUAUACCCCCAUUUUACAGAUGAAGUAACCUACUGUAAGAGGGUAAAUUACUUGCCCAGGCCCCAUAGCUAUUGCAUGGCGGAGCCAGGAUUCAAACAAGGGUCUCAGUUUCUAAAACUUCAUGUGCUCCCUUCACUCUGCUAUUCUCCCUCCGCCAUAUUGAAAAUCCUCACGCGGCUUAAUCCUGUCUACGCAGAGGCUCUGCCCACACCUUUGGGCUUCUUCUCCCUCCUCUUGUUCCUGGGCACACUGCCCAAGCUGUCAUCAGUUUCCCUUUCCAUGCAUGGGCCAUGCAGGUUUGUUAGGGGGAGACAGACCAAAGCUAUCCUCCAAGUUAAAAAAAAAAAAAAAAAAAUCCCUCCACAAAGGUGUAGAAUGAGGAAAAGAAUCCCCACCUAAACAUUAUAUCAUGCAAAGAACGAAGGUGACCAAAGAAUAAACCAGCCUUCUUCCCAUGGGCCAGCCCUCCAUUCUGAAAGAAAGCUGGUUACCAAAAGAGCAAAGG